AACGCACGAGACCUGCGGACCUGCGGAGGGAUCAUUACCGAAGUCCCGAGCGGGCCUGUGCCGUACGUGAAAAGUGUGCACGGCCCGUCUCACACACACACCCGUGCACGGAAGGGGAAGAGGGGGGGGGUGUUUCACUUCCCUCCUCCCCCCCACAAAAAACGCCUUUUUGAAACUGGGAAGCCACAACGUGUGCAACCUUUGACAACUUUUAACAAUGGAUCUCUAGAUCGGAAGAGC
Molecule: unclassified non-coding RNA, 240 nt
Filed under: soil metagenome
Description: partial contains 5.8S ribosomal RNA, internal transcribed spacer 2, and large subunit ribosomal RNA
Source: RNAcentral